AUUGUCCCCCAUCUUUUGCAAUACAAUUGUUUGAUGAAUCAUGACCUUAUUCUUCAUUCCAAAUGCAACUCGCCCGAAAACUGUUAUGAAUUGGAAUGGAAGGAAAGGAAGAUGUGUUGGAAGAAAAUGUGAGCAAAUAU
This is a non-coding RNA of Caenorhabditis elegans, 140 nucleotides long. Lineage: Eukaryota; Metazoa; Nematoda; Chromadorea; Rhabditida; Rhabditidae. The record is from Ensembl.